Long non-coding RNA from Capsicum annuum, 874 nucleotides. RefSeq lists it as uncharacterized. NCBI's taxonomy places the organism in Eukaryota, Viridiplantae, Streptophyta, Magnoliopsida, Solanales, Solanaceae. The transcript has 3 exons. The record is from RefSeq and is a predicted model, not a curated record.
GUCCAUUCCCUGCUUUUAUAGGUACAUGAAAUUAAACUCUUUCAUUUUCUGCUUAUGUUUUACGAUUUCUAUCUUUAAUGGCAUCCACUUCGCCAAGAACGGUGAAAUCUGAGCUUUAAAUCCACCUUAAAUUACCAAAAUUAAUGUCAAUUUGGCUUCUUAUUUCUUGCAGUUUUCUCAUCGUUUAGACGGCUUGAUGAGGCUUGAACAUUUUCCACAAGAUUUCCCCCCUAUUUUGGAUUAAAGUUAAGGUCCUAGUACGAGCACCUAAUGUGGUGGUUGAUUUUGUGCAGAGAUCUUAGAAUUUUACGGAUUGAUUCACUCUAGAGUUUGGAGUUGAUUCAUACCUCAUCCAUCCCUACUUGUCUUUAUUUUUAUUUUAAGAGACAGAUGUGUAAUAUUAGUUUUUGAAUAUUGUACUAGAAUGUUCUUACAUUAUGACACCAGGUUCUGGGUGACCUAUGUUAUUUCUUUCAGACUUCUACUAUUAUUAUACUUGUAUACGUCUGACUUCAUUCUAGAAGUCCCACCUUGGGUUAUGUUGUUUUUUUUAUAUUUCUUUAUUAGUUUGGGUGAUUGGCAUACUUAUCAAGGUUGAGCCACGAUAAGUGUCAUCAUGACCCAUUUUUGGAUCGUGACUAUGGGUUACUAACUCUUGGACUAGAUUAUGGAGUUCAUUAUAAGAGAGGUUCUGAGAACAAAGUAGUUAAGGCUCUCUUAAGAAGAUACUGAAGAUACUUGUCACGUUCUGAUUUGACACUCUAGAUGUAACCGACACUCAUAAACACAAGUGGCUUGAGAUAAUCACUUGUCCUGCAUGAGACUGAAAAAAUACAUGCUGAAAGAUAAAGUGGAAGCUGGAGAAUGGUAAAUA